UACGUAGGUGGCAAGCGUUGUCCGGAUUUAUUGGGUUUAAAGGGUGCGUAGGCGGCUUUGUAAGUCAGUGGUGAAAUAUGGCAGCUUAACUGUCAGGGUGCCAUUGAUACUGCGGAGCUUGAGUACAGAUGAGGUAGGCGGAAUUGACGGUGUAGCGGUGAAAUGCUUAGAUAUCGUCAAGAACACCUAUAGCGAAGGCAGCUUACUAGGCUGUAACUGACGCUGAGGUGCGAAAGCGUGGGGAGCAAACAGG
Molecule: ribosomal RNA, 253 nt
Filed under: uncultured bacterium
Lineage: Bacteria
Description: partial 16S ribosomal RNA
Rfam family: Bacterial small subunit ribosomal RNA
Source: RNAcentral